GACGAACCGUGCGAACGUUGUUCGGAAUCACUGGGCUUAAAGGGCGCGUAGGCGGGCUGGCGAGUCCGGGGUGAAAGUCACCGGCUUAACCGGUGGAGUGCCCCGGAUACUGCCGGCCUGGAGGGGGGUAGGGGACCGCGGAACUAUGGGUGGAGCGGUGAAAUGCGUUGAUAUCCAUAGGAACUCCGGUGGCGAAGGCGGCGGUCUGGACCCCAUCUGACGCUGAGGCGCGAAAGCCAGGGGAGCGAACGGG
This 253-nucleotide ribosomal RNA is filed under the name uncultured prokaryote. Its description in RNAcentral is "partial 16S ribosomal RNA". It matches the Rfam family "Bacterial small subunit ribosomal RNA", at positions 524 to 776 of the family's 1533-position model. The record is from RNAcentral.